AGAGUUUGAUCAUGGCUCAGAAUCAACGCUGGCGGCGCGCCUAACACAUGCAAGUCGAGCGAGAAAGUCCUUCGGGAUGAGUACAGCGGCGGACGGGUGAGUAACACGUGGGUAACCUGCCCUCGAAUGGGGAAUAACUCCGGGAAACUGGAGCUAAUACCGCAUACGAUCCUUCGGGAUGAAAGCCUUCGGGCGUUCGAGGAGGGGCCCGCGCCCGAUUAGCUAGUUGGUAGGGUAAUGGCCUACCAAGGCUCCGAUCGGUAGCCGGCCUGAGAGGGCACACGGCCACACUGGCACUGAGACACGGGCCAGACUCCUACGGGAGGCAGC
Molecule: ribosomal RNA, 330 nt
Filed under: uncultured soil bacterium
Lineage: Bacteria
Description: bacterial SSU rRNA
Rfam family: Bacterial small subunit ribosomal RNA
Source: RNAcentral